This 412-nucleotide long non-coding RNA is filed under the name Anser brachyrhynchus (Pink-footed goose). RNAcentral describes it as "lncRNA (ENSABRG00000006052.1)". Lineage: Eukaryota; Metazoa; Chordata; Aves; Anseriformes; Anatidae. The record is from RNAcentral.
CAUGACACAGUUAAGAAAAAUAAUGAGGAAAGUGAAUCAUUAGCUACUAUGUCAUAAUGGUACAAAAAGAUUCCAAGUUACUGUCCAUAGGAGGCAAUGAUGCCACGUAAGCAACCUCCCUGCACUCUCCCAGGGGUUCACAGGGAUUGGAAAAACUUGUGGAUCUUCCCCUUUGGAUCUGCCUUGGGAGGUGGUUUGGACUACAGUGUGAUUUAUAUGUGCGGAGUGACAUACACCUGCUUACACACCAGCCUGGUUUGCACACCGGAGUCACGCUGGCUUAAGGUAGGGACAAGAUGCACCUUGGGGUGUCACUGAAGCAAGCACAGAGCUGCGGGAAGUUUGGGGAGAAGUGAGCUCCUGGGAGACUGGAAAAGACAUGGAGGAUGCUGAGCUUGGGUGAGAAAACAGG